UGGGGAAUAUUGGACAAUGGGCGAAAGCCUGAUCCAGCCAUGCCGCGUGAGUGACGAAGGCCUUAGGGUUGUAAAACUCUUUCGUCGGGGACGAUAAUGACGGUACCCGAAGAAGAAGCUCCGGCUAACUUCGUGCCAGCAGCCGCGGUGAUACGAAGGGAGCUAGCGUUGUUCGGAAUCACUGGGCGUAAAGCGCACGUAGGCGGAUAGUUAAGUCAGGGGUGAAAUCCUGGGGCUCAACCCCAGAACUGCCUUUGAUACUGGCUGUCUCGAGGUCGAGAGAGGUUGGUGGAAUUCCUAGUGUAGAGGUGAAAUUCGUAGAUAUUAGGAAGAACACCAGUGGCGAAGGCGGCCAACUGGCUCGAUACUGACGCUGAGGUGCGAAAGCGUGGGGAGCAAACAGGAUUAGAUACCCAAGUAGUCCCUGAGCGGGCUGGCAAGGCGCAU
This 447-nucleotide ribosomal RNA is filed under the name uncultured bacterium. Its description in RNAcentral is "bacterial SSU rRNA". It matches the Rfam family "Bacterial small subunit ribosomal RNA", at positions 355 to 825 of the family's 1533-position model. The record is from RNAcentral.